AACUUUUGGCAACGGAUCUCUUGGCUCUCGCAUCGAUGAAGAACGCAGCGAAAUGCGAUAAGUAAUGUGAAUUGCAGAAUUCAGUGACUCAUCGAAUCUUUGAACGCACCUUGCGCUCCUUGGUAUUCCGAGGAGCAUGCCUGUUUGAGUGUCAUUUUAGUUUGUCAAACCAAUUUAACUUGUUGUUUCUUUCGAAUGAACAGUUAUGUUGGUUUGGAUUUAUGGGGGUUUUGCGAGCUUUGUCAAGAAGUUGGCUCUCCUUAAAUAUAUUAGCUAAAAGAAACCUUUGCUGACCAUUCCCAGUGUGAUAAAUUAUCUACACUAUUGAAAGGACAGCUGUGUCAUGAAGGUUUAGCUUCUAAUUGUCAUUUGUGACAUCUGUUAAAAUCUUGACCUCAAAUCAGGUAGGACUACCCGCUGAACUUAAGCAUAUCAAUAAGCGGAGGC
Molecule: unclassified non-coding RNA, 447 nt
Filed under: uncultured Rhodocybe
Lineage: Eukaryota; Fungi; Basidiomycota; Agaricomycetes; Agaricales; Entolomataceae
Description: sequence contains ITS2
Rfam family: 5.8S ribosomal RNA (bases 1-154)
Source: RNAcentral